Molecule: ribosomal RNA, 429 nt
Filed under: bacterium
Lineage: Bacteria
Also listed under: 1 other name
Description: partial 16S ribosomal RNA
Rfam family: Bacterial small subunit ribosomal RNA
Source: RNAcentral
UAGGGAAUCUUCCACAAUGGACGCAAGUCUGAUGGAGCAACGCCGCGUGAGUGAAGAAGGUUUUCGGAUCGUAAAGCUCUGUUGUUGGUGAAGAAGGAUAGAGGUAGUAACUGGCCUUUAUUUGACGGUAAUCAACCAGAAAGUCACGGCUAACUACGUGCCAGCAGCCGCGGUAAUACGUAGGUGGCAAGCGUUGUCCGGAUUUAUUGGGCGUAAAGCGAGCGCAGGCGGAAGAAUAAGUCUGAUGUGAAAGCCCUCGGCUUAACCGAGGAACUGCAUCGGAAACUGUUUUUCUUGAGUGCAGAAGAGGAGAGUGGAAUUCCAUGUGUAGCGGUGGAAUGCGUAGAUAUAUGGAAGAACACCAGUGGUGAAGGCGACUCUCUGGUCUGCAACUGACGCUGAGGCUCGAAAGCAUGGGUAGCGAACAGG